AUACAGAGAGUGCAAGCGUUAAUCGGAAUUACUGGGCGUAAAGCGCGCGUAGGUGGAUACUUUAGUCGGAUGUGAAAGCCCUGGGCUUAACCUAGGAACUGCAUCCGAAACUGGGUGUCUAGAGUAUAGUAGAGGGAAGUGGAAUUUCCGGUGUAGCGGUGAAAUGCGUAGAUAUCGGAAGGAACACCAGUGGCGAAGGCGGCUUCCUGGACUAAUACUGACACUGAGGUGCGAAAGCGUGGGGAGCAAACAGGAUUAGAAACCCCGGUAGUCC
Molecule: ribosomal RNA, 274 nt
Filed under: uncultured bacterium
Lineage: Bacteria
Description: partial 16S ribosomal RNA
Rfam family: Bacterial small subunit ribosomal RNA
Source: RNAcentral